This 253-nucleotide ribosomal RNA is filed under the name uncultured bacterium. Its description in RNAcentral is "partial 16S ribosomal RNA". It matches the Rfam family "Bacterial small subunit ribosomal RNA", at positions 524 to 776 of the family's 1533-position model. The record is from RNAcentral.
UACGUAGGGGGCUAGCGUUGUCCGGAAUCACUGGGCGUAAAGCGCGCGUAGGCGGUCCGGUAAGUCCGCUGUGAAAGUCGGGGGCUCAACCCUCGAAUGCCGGUGGAUACUGUCGGGCUAGAGUGCGGAAGAGGCGAGUGGAAUUCCUGGUGUAGCGGUGAAAUGCGCAGAUAUCAGGAGGAACACCGGUGGCGAAGGCGGGUCUCUGGGCCGAUACUGACGCUGAGGAGCGAAAGCGUGGGGAGCGAACAGG